RNAcentral lists this ribosomal RNA (435 nucleotides) under uncultured bacterium. RNAcentral's name for it is "partial 16S ribosomal RNA". It matches the Rfam family "Bacterial small subunit ribosomal RNA", at positions 29 to 507 of the family's 1533-position model. The record is from RNAcentral.
AGCGAACGCUGGCGGCAGGCUUAACACAUGCAAGUCGAGCGGGCACUUUCGGGUGUCAGCGGCGGACGGGUGAGUAACGCGUGGGAACGUGCCCUCUGGUUCGGAAUAACUCAGGGAAACUUGAGCUAAUACCGGAUACGCCCUUUUGGGGAAAGGCUUGCUGCCGGAGGAUCGGCCCGCGUCUGAUUAGCUAGUUGGUGAGGUAACGGCUCACCAAGGCGACGAUCAGUAGCUGGUCUGAGAGGAUGAUCAGCCACACUGGGACUGAGACACGGCCCAGACUCCUACGGGAGGCAGCAGUGGGGAAUAUUGGACAAUGGGCGCAAGCCUGAUCCAGCCAUGCCGCGUGGGUGAUGAAGGCCUUAGGGUUGUAAAGCUCUUUUAUCUGGGACGAUAAUGGCGGUACCGGAGGAAUAAGCCCCGGCUAACUUCGUG